CAACCAUAACUUUAAUUAGCAUAUCGUAUUGAUUGUAACAUACAUAUAGUUCAUGUGUUCUAAGCAUAAUCACAAGACAUCAUACAUCUGGUUCACGUCAGGUGCACCAAACCAUUUUUAUUCCAUUAACUAAUUGUCACAUACAUAGAGUUCAAUUUGUUCUAACCAGCAAGACAAGAUACCAUACAUUAGGUUUACAUAAGGACAGCAAAAAGACACAACUAUGAGACAUCAGUUGUACAAAAUGAAAGCUAAAACAUCCAGUUGACGUGGAUCGCCGGCUUCAUGGUUCAUUUCCUUAUGUUUGCUUCCUACAGAAGAUAAAGAAGUCUCAAUUAUUAGAAUGUUCAAUUAAUUUAUGAAAUUGAAUACAGGCAGAAGUCAUAUCUGCACUGUGCACACACAUGAGCACAAAAUGAGGAAUACACUUAUCUAAUCUAUAAAAGUAGCGGAACAUGAAGACCACCAAUCGACUCCCAGCAGUGGCCAUGGAUGUGGCAUAGAAGCCCUCUGUACGACUGCUGGGCAUUUAGUGUUCCUAGGGACAUACUUAAGUUACUCUGCAUAGGUACCGGCAGCCAAUAUUCCAACACUUGUUUCCAAAAAAAUGUCCGUAGGGAAUACAGUGUCAUAGGUAUAAGAGAAAUAAAAAUGAGUUGUGUGAAUGACCAAUAUUUGCUUUACUAUUCAGUCCAUACAAGGAAAAAUAUAUCGGAAAUAUAGAAUUAGUAUCUCAAAUAUAGAACCAACUUACACAGUUCUUUUGCAAUUUAUAAAGGCAUAACCAGACUCUGCAUGAUAACUAAAUAUAUGUACACUGCUUAUUAAUCUGUACAUACAGAUUAUAAAUACUAGGUUUUUCCUGAUACUUACUGAUUAAUAGCUCAUGGGUGGGCGCCUUCUUCAUGGCUGGGUAGAAUGGAAAAAUUACGCGUGCUGCCAUAUUAAAAUAUAGUUAGUCAAGAUCUUUUUUUAUAUGGAUAGUUAGUCAAGAUCUUGAUAAAUAUACAAUGUACUAUAUUGGCCUAGAAACAGGAUUCAGAAAUAGCAACUUUAAAAGCAACUAGCGAUGUAGUAUGCUCUGUUCUGUACUAUGGAUGUGCUAAUUGGAGUGUUCUGUAAUGCCAAAUUAACUAUUACUAUUAAGCAAUAAUCAGCUAGCAGUGUAAACAAGAUAUAGUGUUCUGUAAUGCCAAAUUAACUAUUACUAUUAAUGCCAAAUUUAACUAUUAUUAAGAGCAAGUAGCAGUGUUCUGUACUAAUUGCAGAAAGUAGGCUCUGUACCCGUAUACCAUAAAUCAUAUUUUAGUCUUCAAUAAAACACAGGGAAACCAAUUAAAUGAAUCUGAACAUUGUUAAAAAAUUGACAACGGCUCUGUUUCACUUCUCUUUCAAUUGAGCAAAUAGUUCUUUUGAUGGAGAGAACAAAUCAAUGCUGACCAAGAACUAAAAGUGUAAAACAAUGAUAAACUUAUGUACCAAUUCGAUGGUCAAGCUAUUGUAAAUUCAAGUGUCGCAAAUACUACAUGGUAAGUCCACACACUUGCUGGUAUCGGAAAGUCCAUUUCUACAGCACACGACACACUGAUAAUGGUAACCUCCUGGCAAACCUUUCAGGUAGAUAGGCAAAUGCUAACACAUCAUGUGUCUAUUGAACCCUGCAAACUUCAGGGUGUCAAUGGUUUGAAGUAAAAGUAACAAGUGCAUCUAUAAUAUUCAGUUGGUUUGGUACACACUUAAAACUUCAGAAAAUCAUAUUAUCCGAAAUGAUGCAAAAUGAUAUCACGACUGAUGCAAAAUGACCAGCCAACUCUUUGACAUUCAAUUUGUAACCUAUCUUAUUAUCCGAAAUGGACCGCAAUAUAGUAGUAUGAAUGUACUUCAGUCUGAUGGUGUGGUUCUUCUAUUCAUAUAAGAAAAGUACAAUCGUACUUGUGCUUUCAUAUGCUAAUCACAAAUGACUUAAGGAUGAUUGAUAGACAAGCAACUAGAAAAGUCCUAUGUACAUCUUACCUGGCUACUACGCCAUUGUGCAUAAAUAGAAGCAGCUUCUUGAAGAAUCCUCAGUUCUUCCUCUCUCGUUCCAGAUUCAUGUACAGCAAUUCAGUUGCACCCUCACAUGUUAACAUGUGGGUAGGUUUGAUUACAGAGUUCUCUAUUGAAUAUUUCUGCAAUGCCGUCGCACAGAAAUGGAUGUAUUCAUUACACUUAUUAUAAAGAAAAAUAUAGUAUCUCCCAAAGAAAAUAAUAAUGGAUGCACAUACAUCAAUCAUGUAUUCAUUACACUUAAUAUAACAACAUUAAUCAUGUAUACUGCUGAAAUAAUAAAAUAGGUACCUAUUUUAUUACCAAUCCUCAAACUUAACAAAGCAUGCAGACUCACUUAUAAAUCAAGGAGUUGGCCAUCUUUAGUGGCUAAUGUCUAUGAUGCAAAAUUUAUUUCAGCUAGAUACCGACCACAAAGACAAAACAAUAAUCAAAUCUAGGUUUCAUCACUUGCAUGCUCAAAAAAUAAGAUUUGGCAUAUCAUUCAUGACGAUAUGGCCAGAUAAGGAAAAACAAGCAACCUGGCAUAACCUCAAUUACACACCAAAAGUGAGAAUAAGAAAAAAGAAUGCAACAAAAACCAGUCAAAUAGUAUGACAAAACUCAAGAUGUGUCAAAAAUACUCACCUAUCCAAAACCAGUCAG
Molecule: long non-coding RNA, 2691 nt
Filed under: Triticum aestivum (bread wheat)
Lineage: Eukaryota; Viridiplantae; Streptophyta; Magnoliopsida; Poales; Poaceae
Description: long non-coding RNA (TAES_LNC003191)
Source: RNAcentral